GCGCGAGUGGCGAAAUGGCAGACGCGCUGGCUUCAGGUGCCAGUGUUCGUAAGGACGUGGGGGUUCGAGUCCCCCCUCGCGCAC
This 84-nucleotide transfer RNA is filed under the name uncultured Acidimicrobiaceae bacterium. Its description in RNAcentral is "tRNA-Ser". It matches the Rfam family "tRNA". Rfam says of the family: Transfer RNA (tRNA) molecules are approximately 80 nucleotides in length. Their secondary structure includes four short double-helical elements and three loops (D, anti-codon, and T loops). Further hydrogen bonds mediate the characteristic L-shaped molecular structure. tRNAs have two regions of fundamental functional importance: the anti-codon, which is responsible for specific mRNA codon recognition, and the 3' end, to which the tRNAs corresponding amino acid is attached (by aminoacyl-tRNA synthetases). tRNAs cope with the degeneracy of the genetic code in two manners: having more than one tRNA (with a specific anti-codon) for a particular amino acid; and 'wobble' base-pairing, i.e. permitting non-standard base-pairing at the 3rd anti-codon position. The record is from RNAcentral. Lineage: Bacteria; Bacillati; Actinomycetota; Acidimicrobiia; Acidimicrobiales; Acidimicrobiaceae.